UUCCCGCUGCCAGCGUCACUUUCUAAGCCGGUCGGCAGCAAGCCUCCACUUCUCAUUUUUCAUCUCAUUCUCUGACUCGCCUAAACUUCUCCAAAAUGAGCUACAGAAGAUCCACCAUGCAGCAGCAGAUACCUUCUACCCACAUCUCCAUGACCCGUUCUGCACCCCGUGCUAUCAGCGUUUACGGGGGUGCCGGUGGAUAUGGUGCCCGCAUCUCCUCUGCCUCCGCAUCUUCCCUGCGCUCUGGUGCCCCGAUGACCUCUUCUUUAAGUGCCUUCAAGCUGAGCAGUGGAAUGGUUGGAGGUAUGAGCUCUGGUUUUGGUGGUGCUGGUGCAUCCGUGGCAGCUGGUGGUGGUGCCAGUGCUGGGAUCCUGGGCAAUGAGAAGGGAGCCAUGCAAAACCUCAAUGACCGCCUGGCCAACUACCUGGAGACAGUGAGGAACCUGGAACAGGCCAACAAGGAGCUGGAGAUGAAGAUCAGGGAUGCUCUGGAGAAAGGCGGGCCCGACAUGAGAGACUACAGCAAGUAUGAACCCAUCAUCGACGACCUACGCAAACAGAUAUUUGAUAAGAUAGUGGAGAAUGCUCGUUAUGUGCUCCAGAUCGACAACGCCCGUCUUGCUGCUGACGACUUCAAAGUGAAGUUCGACAAUGAGAUGGCAAUCCGCCAGUCUGUGGAGGCCGACAUUGCUGGCCUGAAGAAAGUCAUCGAUGACACCAACAUGAGCAGGAUGAACAUCGAGAGCGAGAUUGAAGCUGUGAGGGAGGAGCUCGCCUUCCUGAAGAAGAACCAUGAGAAUGAGGUGAUGGAGCUGAGGAAUCAGAUCUCCCAGUCUGGUGUGCAAGUGGAUGUAGACGCCCCCAAAGGUCAGGACCUGGCCCAGAUCAUGGAGGACAUGAGGUCCAACUAUGAAAAAAGUGCUUUGAAGAAUGCAGAAGACCUCAAGCGAUGGCACGAAAAUCAGAUUACAGAGGUACAGGCGCAGGUAUCACAGAACACAGAAGCUCUGCAGGGGGCCCAGAUGGAGAAGAGUGACUUAGGCAGACAGAUACAGACCCUGGAAAUUGAACUCGCAUCACAACAGAGCUUAAAAGCCUCCUUAGAGGACACACUACACAACACAGAGCUACGAAACAACAUGGAAAUGGAGAAGUACAACACCCUUAUUAUUCGCCUGGAGGAGGAGCUGACCAACUUGCGUGCAAACAUCCACCAGCAGACCCAGGACUACGAGGCACUCCUCAACAUGAAGAUGAAGCUGGAGGCAGAGAUUGGCACUUAUAAGAGUCUGCUGGAUGGUGGAGACUUCAAGUAAGAGUUAUAAAAGGUGGAGGAGAAAAAACAGAUCGAGGCAAGGUGAUGAUGGUGGUGGAGGCUCCAGGAUGCACUAGAUGAGCUGGCGGCCACAAGCUAAUUUGGAACAAAGGAUCUGGGACCAUCCCAAGGAUGAAAGCAAAGAAACCCACAAAUAUUACAAUUACAGAAAAAAAAUGUCCUGCUGGUCCAAUCAACUGAAGCCAUUUUUUGUACCAAGACCACAUACUGUGUAAACCAUAAAUGAUUAAAGCAAUUCUGAAUAAAGGCAUUCUUCCACACCACAAUGAAACAGGCAAGGCUGUUUCAAAAGCAACCACUGCCUGACCUGGCAGCAAAAUAAAAAUGAAUAAAACCA
Lates calcarifer (barramundi perch) is the source of this 1673-nucleotide RNA transcript. It is a transcript of the gene named keratin, type I cytoskeletal 18, with no coding region annotated. The transcript is spliced from 7 exons. Lineage: Eukaryota; Metazoa; Chordata; Actinopteri; Centropomidae. The record is from RefSeq and is a predicted model, not a curated record.